GAUGAACGCUGGCGGCGUGCCUAAUACAUGCAAGUCGAGCGAACAGACGAGGAGCUUGCUCCUCUGACGUUAGCGGCGGACGGGUGAGUAACACGUGGAUAACCUACCUAUAAGACUGGAUAACUUCGGGAAACCGGAGCUAAUACCGGAUAAUAUAUUUAACCGCAUGGUUCAAUAGUGAAAGACGGUUUUGCUGUCACUUAUAGAUGGAUCCGCGCCGCAUUAGCUAGUUGGUAAGGUAACGGCUUACCAAGGCGACGAUGCGUAGCCGACCUGAGAGGGUGAUCGGCCACACUGGAACUGAGACACGGUCCAGACUCCUACGGGAGGCAGCAGUAGGGAAUCUUCCGCAAUGGGCGAAAGCCUGACGGAGCAACGCCGCGUGAGUGAUGAAGGUCUUCGGAUCGUAAAACUCUGUUAUUAGGGAAGAACAAAUGUGUAAGUAACUAUGCACGUCUUGACGGUACCUAAUCAGAAAGCCACGGCUAACUACGUG
Molecule: ribosomal RNA, 496 nt
Filed under: uncultured bacterium
Lineage: Bacteria
Description: partial 16S ribosomal RNA
Rfam family: Bacterial small subunit ribosomal RNA
Source: RNAcentral